CCAAUAGCGUAUAUUAAAGUUGUUGCAGUUAAAAAGCUCGUAGUUGAAUUUCGGGAUCAAUAUGUUGGUCGUGCCUUGGUACGUACUAAUUUAUUGGUUUCUUCCUUCUGACGAACCAUGAUGUCAUUAAUUUGGUGUCUUGGGGAAUCAGGACUGUUACUUUGAAAAAAUUAGAGUGUUUAAAGCAGGCUCACGCUUGAAUACAUUAGCAUGGAAUAAUGAAAUAGGAUGUUUGAUUCUAUUUUGUUGGUUUCUAGGAUCGACGUAAUGAUUAAUAGGGAUAGUUGGGGGCAUUAGUAUUCAAUUGUCAGAGGUGAAAUUCUUGGAUUUAUUGAAGACUAACUACUGCGAAAGCAUUUGCCAAGGAUGUUUUCAUUAAUCAAGAACGAAAGUUAGGGGAUCGAAGACGAUCAGAUACCGUCGUAGUCUUAACCAUAAACUAUGCCGACUAGGGAUCGGAUGAUGUUAAUUUUUUAAUGACUCAUUCGGCGCCUUAG
This 497-nucleotide unclassified non-coding RNA is filed under the name uncultured Glomus. RNAcentral describes it as "SSU rRNA". It matches the Rfam family "Eukaryotic small subunit ribosomal RNA", at positions 591 to 1091 of the family's 1831-position model. The record is from RNAcentral. Lineage: Eukaryota; Fungi; Glomeromycota; Glomeromycetes; Glomerales; Glomeraceae.